Molecule: unclassified non-coding RNA, 2861 nt
Filed under: Hevea brasiliensis (rubber tree)
Lineage: Eukaryota; Viridiplantae; Streptophyta; Magnoliopsida; Malpighiales; Euphorbiaceae
Source: RNAcentral
AAGACAUGAAAGCAAUUUCACAGGGAAAAUAUACCAAAACAUCAUAUGAUGGGAUCCCAAGAGGCAAAAUAAGCUGUAAAUUUAUGUAAUUAUUCUUUAUUUUUCAAACAGAGAUGCCUUUAAUAGUGUAUCCUCCAUUCUUUUCCUUAAAUCUUCCUAGUUAAAUCUUUCUUUCCCCAUAAAUUGACAAUUUCCUUAGUGCUUUGCCUUAUGCAUGCCCCCAUUCUUUUCAUAUGCACAGUUUGAUUUCACUUUGCUUUGUCCAAAAUUAUAAGAUCAAGAGUUCACUUCAUAAAAAUCUCCAUCAUCUGCUGCAAUUGAAAGAAGAUCUAUCAUGGCAGCUUUGGUGUAAAAUCUUUCACAUUUAGAGCUUGCAUUUUUGCAUGCUAAAUUCUUCAACAAAAUAAGAGAUCGGUAUCAUUGGCUGCUAAAUUGUCAGAAGAGCAUGGAGCCUUAUAGUGAUUUAUCCUCGAGGAGAAAGCCCGCAAGCAAGGCAAAAGCACAGGCUUUAGGAUCACAGGAGGGAAGUUCAAGUUAUGAUCAAGAGAUAGAAGACACCGAGUACCUUCAGAACCUGCCUCUAUAUAAAACGGUCGAUAAUGGAGAUUGGGAGGCUGCAAUGAAAUUCCUUGAAGAAAACCCUGCUGCACUGACUGCUAGCCUUUCAGCAGAUGGGGACACAGCCCUUCACGUUGCGGUUCUGGCAGGGCAUGAAGAGAUCGUCAAGGAGUUGAUAAAAAAGUUGAGUGCGGAGGACUUAGCAAUCAAAAACGAAAACAAUGCUACUGCGCUUAAUUAUGCAGCCAUUGGAGGGAUCACAAAAAUUGCAGAGGACUUAGUUGAAAAGAACAAAAACUUGCUUACCAUUCCUAAUCAGAAUGACCUGAUACCGGUUGUUGUUGCUUCACUUUAUGGCCAUAAAGAAAUGGUUCGUUACCUCUAUAAAGAGAGUCCCAAAGAGGAACUUAGUCCUGAAAAAGGCAACAAUGGAAUUAUGCUUCUUACUACUUGUAUCCUUGGCGAACUCUAUGAUAUUGCAUUGGAUUUGCUUCAACUUCACCCACAAUUGGCAUUUUAUCAAGAUAGUGACAACGAUACAGCACUUUACAUGUUGGCUCAAAAACCUUCUGCAUUUCCCAGUGGAAGCACACUUCCUCUCUGGCAACAAUGGAUAUAUGAUUAUAAGAAUAUGGCACUUGCAGCUUAUAUGACCAAAAGGAAGUAUUUUAGCCCAUGAACUCUAUCUGCUUUUACCUGAAGAUGUACUAUAAGUGUACUUUUUAGCUUGAUGACUUGCCUGAAUGAUCCCUUAUUUCGUUUUGAAGGUAUCCGCGUUCCUGAGCCUCAUUUCUCUAACAACACCCAUGGAGACAUCGAAAGGCCUCGCAAUGGACCGAUCAUACGAAGGAACACCAAUAGAGGAGCACUUUUCCAAUUGUCAGUUAUCAUUUGGAAAUGCCUGAAACCAUUAGUUCCAGGAAUCAGGCAUCUGUAUAACCUAAAGCUGACACAUGCACAAGCACAAGAACUUCUGUGUUGCAUUUGCCAACAAUUAUCGACCCUGCGUAAGUCAGAAUUUGACAGACUUGGAGUUCAGAAAGCCAUAUUCAUUGCUGUUGAGCAUGGAAUUGUGGAGUUCAUUGUAGAGAUGACUAAGCACUACCCUGACAUUAUAUGGUGCGAGGAUGAAUGUAAACGGGGUAUAUUCAUGUAUGCAACCCUGCAACGCCAAGAAAAGAUUUUCAGUCUUAUUUAUAAGAUGGGUGCCAAGAAAAACUACAUGGCAACUCAUUGGGAUAAGUUUUUUAACAACAUUUUACAUCAAGCUGCAUACUUGGCACCUUCCUCUCAGCUUGAAUGUGUCUCAGGUGCAGCAUUGCAAAUGCAAAGGGAAUUACAAUGGUUCAAGGAAGUGGAGAGUAUUGCACAGCCCAAGUACAGGGACAUGGUGAACAUUUAUCAUAAGACUCCUCGAGCUUUAUUUUCAGAGACCCACAAGAGAUUAGUGGAAGAAGGUGAGGAAUGGAUGAAAAACACAGCUGAGUCCUGCACGGUUGUGGCUGCUCUUAUAGCAACCAUUAUGUUUUCUGCAAUCUUUACAGCUCCUGGAGGUUAUGAUCAGGCUGGCGAGCCUCUAUACCUGUAUCAAAAUCUGUUCAUGGUUUUCAUCGUAUCUGAUGCAAUGUCUUUAUUUGCUUCCACAUCCUCAUUACUUAUGUUCUUGGGAAUCCUGACGUCUCGAUACAGAGAAGAAGAUUUCCUAAUGUCCUUGCCUACCAAGUUGAUAAUAGGGCUUUCCAGUCUUUUCUUCUCUAUAGCAACUAUGAUGAUAACCUUUGGAGUAACUCUCGUUAUUUUUCUUCACAAAAGAAUACCCUGGGUUUCCUUUCCAAUCAUUCUGCUUGCCAGCCUUCCUGUCACUCUGUUUGCUUUGCUGCAAUUUCCUAUUCUGGUUGAGAUUUUCUUCUCUACUUAUGGACCUGGGAUUUUUGACAAGCCUAGGAAGUGGCGGUUCUUUUAAUCACAAUUCCUACAUAUCAAUUCUCACUGCUUUGAUUGAUUUUGUUAUUACUCGUUUCUGGUGAUGAAGAGCAAAACUAUUGAUGUGCUGUUUUAUUUGUUGGUGGUGGAAAGAGGAAGCAUACCUUCUCAAUUUACUAAAUUAUAGAAAAUUGGCAGAAUAUUGUUUUGUUAUUUUUCUAAGUCUUGUGGUUAUUCAAGGAUUUCUUUUCUUGUAAUUUGCAUAAAAUUUUGGAUUGAGGGUAUUCACCCUCGGUCCAACUAUUAUAAACUCUACCUCAUGAAUAACCUUUGCAUUCAACAUUUGUAUAAGAAUUGCACCCUCAUUAAUGCCACUAAAA